AUGAAUGAGAACCAAUCGAAAUGCACACUUUCUAUUCAAAUAUUUGAAAUGACUUGAAGUUCUAGAACCCGAUUCCCCUGCAUUCGUUUCUACAGGACAUCGUGCUGAACCACACAUGGGAUUACCAUGAUUAUAAGCUUACAAUAUCGCCAUGGAUAAAAUGGAAAAAGGAGGUCAGUUUGACUACCAAAUGAGCAGUUUAUUUCUGUUCCAGCAAGUGGAAUGGGGUUUGUUUUGGUAGAAGGUAGCUCGGAGAGAUAUAUUUUUUUUGGAAAGGGAAGGGCAUACCGUCCCCAUUCCUGACCAUUGAGGCAGAUCCCGCAAUGUCGCCAGGCCGUCACCGGCCUGAAUACUACGGGUGGUUCAAGCAAAGGACACGGUCGACCCUCCAGCUACGCAGGCUCCCAAACUGUACCAACAUAUAGGAGGGGUUCUGUGACUGGAAGAAGAAACUUGAAGACGGUGUCGAUCGUUGGGAGAUUCGCGAACGAAUGGUGUCUUCAUGCGCAAGACAGACAGGUUUCAACAACCAACGGUCAGGGGUGUGGUUGUCUGUGUCUCUCAACUCCAAUAAUCAAAGGUCGACGGCACCACUUUGAUGUUUGGUACCAUCUCAUCUGACAUGAGCGCGCAAAUCCAAGUAGGACACG
Long non-coding RNA from Patiria miniata (bat star), 650 nucleotides. RefSeq lists it as uncharacterized. The transcript is spliced from 3 exons. Lineage: Eukaryota; Metazoa; Echinodermata; Asteroidea; Valvatida; Asterinidae. The record is from RefSeq and is a predicted model, not a curated record.